This 253-nucleotide ribosomal RNA is filed under the name uncultured bacterium. RNAcentral's name for it is "partial 16S ribosomal RNA". It matches the Rfam family "Bacterial small subunit ribosomal RNA", at positions 524 to 776 of the family's 1533-position model. The record is from RNAcentral.
UACGUAGGAUGCAAGCGUUAUCCGGAAUUAUUGGGCGUAAAGCGUACGUAGGCGGUUCCGUAAGUCGGGAGUUAAAGACCGGGGCUCAACCCCGGGGGUGCUCUGGAAACUGCGGGACUGGAGGACGGCAGAGGAAAGUGGAAUUCCCAGUGUAGCGGUGAAAUGCGUAGAUAUUGGGAGGAACACCAGUGGCGAAAGCGACUUUCUGGGCCGUUCCUGACGCUGAGGUACGAAAGCCAGGGGAGCAAACGGG